GAUGAACGCUGGCGGCGUGCCUAAUACAUGCAAGUCGAACGCUUUGUGGUUCAACUGAUUUGAAGAGCUUGCUCAGAUAUGACGAUGGACAUUGCAAAGAGUGGCGAACGGGUGAGUAACACGUGGGAAACCUACCUCUUAGCAGGGGAUAACAUUUGGAAACAGAUGCUAAUACCGUAUAACAAUGACAACCGCAUGGUUGUUAUUUAAAAGAUGGUUCUGCUAUCACUAAGAGAUGGUCCCGCGGUGCAUUAGCUAGUUGGUAAGGUAAUGGCUUACCAAGGCGAUGAUGCAUAGCCGAGUUGAGAGACUGAUCGGCCACAAUGGGACUGAGACACGGCCCAUACUCCUACGGGAGGCAGCAGUAGGGAAUCUUCCACAAUGGGCGAAAGCCUGAUGGAGCAACGCCGCGUGUGUGAUGAAGGGUUUCGGCUCGUAAAACACUGUUGUAAGAGAAGAAUGACAUUGAGAGUAACUGUUCAAUGUGUGACGGUAUCUUACCAGAAAGGAACGGCUAAAUACGUGCCAGCAGCCGCGGUAAUACGUAUGUUCCAAGCGUUAUCCGGAUUUAUUGGGCGUAAAGCGAGCGCAGACGGUUAUUUAAGUCUGAAGUGAAAGCCCUCAGCUCAACUGAGGAAUUGCUUUGGAAACUGGAUGACUUGAGCGCAGUAGAGGAAAGUGGAACUCCAUGUGUAGCGGUGAAAUGCGUAGAUAUAUGGAAGAACACCAGUGGCGAAGGCGGCUUUCUGGACUGUAACUGACGUUGAGGCUCGAAAGUGUGGGUAGCAAACAGGAUUAGAUACCCUGGUAGUCCACACCGUAAACGAUGAGUGCUAGGUGUUUGAGGGUUUCCGCCCUUAAGUGCCGCAGCUAACGCAUUAAGCACUCCGCCUGGGGAGUACGACCGCAAGGUUGAAACUCAAAGGAAUUGACGGGGACCCGCACAAGCGGUGGAGCAUGUGGUUUAAUUCGAAGCAACGCGAAGAACCUUACCAGGUCUUGACAUCCCUUGACAACUCCAGAGAUGGAGUGUUCCCUUCGGGGACAAGGUGACAGGUGGUGCAUGGUUGUCGUCAGCUCGUGUCGUGAGAUGUUGGGUUAAGUCCCGCAACGAGCGCAACCCUUAUUACUAGUUGCCAGCAUUCAGUUGGGCACUCUAGUGAGACUGCCGGUGACAAACCGGAGGAAGGUGGGGAUGACGUCAAAUCAUCAUGCCCCUUAUGACCUGGGCUACACACGUGCUACAAUGGCGUAUACAACGAGUUGCCAACCCGCGAGGGUGAGCUAAUCUCUUAAAGUACGUCUCAGUUCGGAUUGUAGGCUGCAACUCGCCUACAUGAAGUCGGAAUCGCUAGUAAUCGCGGAUCAGCACGCCGCGGUGAAUACGUUCCCGGGUCU
Molecule: ribosomal RNA, 1398 nt
Filed under: uncultured bacterium
Lineage: Bacteria
Description: bacterial SSU rRNA
Rfam family: Bacterial small subunit ribosomal RNA
Source: RNAcentral